GAUGAACGCUGACAGAAUGCUUAACACAUGCAAGUCGAUUCGAUUUACCUUCGGGUAUUGAGGAUGGCGGACGGGUGAGUAACGCGUAAGGAACUUGCCUCUUGGACUGGGACAACUGUUGGAAACGACAGCUAAUACCGGAUAUUAUGAGAUUCUCGCAUGGGAAACUUAUGAAAGCUAUAUGCGCCAAGAGAGAGCCUUGCGUUCCAUUAGCUAGUUGGUGGGGUAAUGGCCCACCAAGGCGACGAUCCCUAGCUGGUCUGAGAGGAUGAUCAGCCACACUGGAACUGAGACACGGUCCAGACUCCUACGGGAGGCAGCAGUGGGGAAUAUUGGACAAUGGGCCACAAGCCUGAUCCCAGCAAUUCUGUGUGCACGAUGAAGGUCUUCGGAUCGUAAAGUGCUUUCAGUUGGGAAGAAGAAGUGACGGUACCAACAGAAGAAGCGACGGGC
RNAcentral lists this ribosomal RNA (453 nucleotides) under uncultured bacterium. RNAcentral's name for it is "bacterial SSU rRNA". It matches the Rfam family "Bacterial small subunit ribosomal RNA", at positions 28 to 498 of the family's 1533-position model. The record is from RNAcentral.